This 73-nucleotide transfer RNA is filed under the name Stegodyphus mimosarum. It matches the Rfam family "tRNA". From Rfam's summary of the family: Transfer RNA (tRNA) molecules are approximately 80 nucleotides in length. Lineage: Eukaryota; Metazoa; Arthropoda; Arachnida; Araneae; Eresidae. The record is from Rfam by way of RNAcentral.
GCCUUCAUGGUGUAAUUGUAAGCACGCCCGACUACCAAUCGGGAGGUCCGAAGUUCAAAUCCCGGCGAAAGUA